GGGGAUGUGGUAAUUGGUGGUAAUCGGUGAAUAUCAUGUUAACUGACUCUUAAUCAGUAGGUCUUCGGUUCGAUCCCGAAACGGCUCACCA
This 91-nucleotide transfer RNA is filed under the name Nitrospina sp. Its description in RNAcentral is "tRNA-Lys". The record is from RNAcentral. Lineage: Bacteria; Pseudomonadati; Nitrospinota; Nitrospinia; Nitrospinales; Nitrospinaceae.